AGGGAAAGCAAGAUUGACAGGAGUGACAGCUCCAUUUAUUGGCUGCUAGAGUCUAGUCAGCAAAAGGGCAUUCAGGGCCACCGGCUGGCUCUGCUGGCGGCCUGUGCAGUCGGCGCCUGUAAUGAAUGAAGCCCUGGAGUCAUAGUAAACAGCAUCUCUAGUACUUCAGGAAUUUUAUCCAACAUGGAGGAUGAAGAGAUUUCUCCUGGUCUUCACAUUUGGCCUCUGCCGACAGGAGCGUCAUGGUGGAUCCAGCAGGUUAACUGAGUCGUUUUGUUCACCCUGCUUUAAUGAGUUACAGGAUCCACUUUGUUCCAGCACAGAGCUGCUUCCCUCCUCUCAUCCCUGCAGAGGCCUCUCUUUUACAACCUCAGGUGCUUCUGGAUACACUUAGUGCUCACUCUACAUCACCUGGGAAUGCACGGGGUCAACCCUUUCCUGACCUCCCACUGGUAUCUGUGCUCACGCAGCCACACAAAGAAAGAACAAGAAAAACAAAGUGCCCUAUAAAGUCUCUCUUAUAAUGUGGGAGAAGUCAUUUCACAUCUUCAGGUUUUUCUAGUUUUGUUUUUGUUUUAUUUUAGACUACAUAUUUUUUUAGACAAAUGCAUUUUACGUGUGUUCAUAGGGCUUGUAAUUAAGAUAUUUUAAUGUUUUUUUCCCUAUCUCUAUUGUAUAAUAAAAAAUUCCCAUAAAUUUAUGAAAUGUAAUUAAUACAUUUUCUUACAGUAAAUUGACUACUAUGGUUGAGCUUGACUAAUGCAGUAAACUCUCCAAUAUGUGUAAAAAUUCAGAAAGUAAAAUAUUUACCUGCCCUCCGAAAGUGAUAGAUUACUUUUUGUCAAUAUAUAUAUAUUGUAAUGUUGUUUUCAUAAUAAUUUGUGUAUAAUUAAAAAGUAUU
Molecule: long non-coding RNA, 901 nt
Organism: Carassius gibelio (silver crucian carp)
Lineage: Eukaryota; Metazoa; Chordata; Actinopteri; Cypriniformes; Cyprinidae
Exons: 4
Source: RefSeq, a predicted model, not a curated record